ANUGGCAGCAGUGAGGAAUAUUGCGCAAUGGGGGCAACCCUGACGCAGCGACGCCGCGUGGGUGAGGAAGGCUUUCGGGUCGUAAAACCCUGUCAGAAGGGAAGAAGUGCUUAUAGGUUAAUACCUUGUAAGUUUGACGGUACCUUCAAAGGAAGCACCGGCUAACUCCGUGCCAGCAGCCGCGGUAAUACGGAGGGUGCAAGCGUUGUUCGGAAUCACUGGGCGUAAAGGGCGCGUAGGCGGCUUGGCAAGUCAGAUGUGAAAGCCCACGGCUUAACCGUGGAAGUGCAUUUGAAACUGCUUGGCUUGAGUAUCAGAGGGGGAAGUGGAAUUCCCGGUGUAGAGGUGAAAUUCGUAGAUAUCGGGAGGAAUACCGGUGGCGAAGGCGACUUUCUGGCUGAAUACUGACGCUGAGGCGCGAAAGCGUGGGGAGCAAACAGGAUUAGAUACCCUGGUAGUCCACGCCGUAAACGAUGUCAACUAGGUGCAGGGGGUGUUGAUCCCUUCUGUGUCGCAGCUAACGCAUUAAGUUGACCGCCUGGGGAGUACGGUCGCAAGAUUAAAACUCAAAUGAAUUGACGGA
This 583-nucleotide ribosomal RNA is filed under the name uncultured bacterium. RNAcentral describes it as "bacterial SSU rRNA". It matches the Rfam family "Bacterial small subunit ribosomal RNA", at positions 344 to 917 of the family's 1533-position model. The record is from RNAcentral.